UCUGCAGAACCCUCGUCAUUCCCCUCCCAGAGCUUCCAAAAUCCCUCGGCACCCUCGGGGGGGGGGAAGCCCUGAUGCCUCUUCCUGCCCUUUGUCCCGCGGUGCCGUGGAAUGUCAGUCCGGGGAGAUGGGAAUUGCUGCCCUCACCCCCUCAGUGCUGCCCUCACCCCCUCAGUGCUGCCUCAACCCCCUCCAUAAAUGGGGGCCUCUUGGUGUCUCCUCAACGCAACCCCUCAGUGUGCCUUGCAGAGGGGCUGGUUGGGGUAAAAGUCAAAUUAGGAACUGGUUGUGUCCGAGAGGGGCCGGGCUGCUCCUGCUUGCCAGUGGAAAACCAGCCUCGGAUCCUGCCCCGGCUGUGCCAGGGAAAUCCAGCUCUGGAAUCCUGCCCCGUGCUGUGCCAGUGCUGCUCCUGCUGCUCCUGCUGUGCCAGAGGAAUCCAGCUCUGGCCUCCUGCUCCGUGCUGGUGCUGUUCCUGCUGCUCUGUGCCAUGCUGGUGCUGCUCCUGCUGUGCCAGGGAAAGCUGGCUCUGGCCUCCUGCUCUGUGCCAGCAUUCUGUGCCGGUGCUGCUCAUCUGCUCCUGCUGUGCUGGAGGAAACUGUCCCUGGCACGAGCUCUGCUCUGUGCCAGUGCUGCUCCUGCUGUGCCAGGGGAAAACUGUCCCUGGUGUGUGCUCUGCUCUGUGCCAGUGUUCUGUGCCAGUGCUGCUCCUGCUGCUCCUGCUGUGCCAGGGGAAACCAGCUCUGGAAUCCUGCCCUGUGCUGUGCCAGUGCUGCUCCUGCUGCUCCUGCUGUGCCAGGGGAAACUGGCUCUGGCCUCCUGCUCUGUGCCAGUGCUGCUCAUCUGCUGCUGCUGUGCCAGGGGAAAACUCUCUCUGGUGUGUGCUCUGCUCUGUGCCAGCAUUCUGUGCCGGUGCUGCUCCCUCUGUGCCAGGGGAAAACUGUCCCUGGCACAAGCUCUGCUCUGUGCCAGUGUUCUGUGCCAGUGCUGCUCCUGCUGCUCCCUCUGUGCCAGGGGAAACCGGCUGUGCCAUCCUGCUGUGUGCUGGUGCUCUGUGCUGUGCCAGUGUUCUGUGCUGGUGCUGCUCCUGCUGUGCCAGGGGAAACCGGCUCUGGCCUCCUGCUCUGUGCCAGUGUUCCGUGCCACUGCUGCUCAUCUGCUCCUGCUGUGCCAGGGGAAAACUCUCUCUGGCGUGUGCUCUGCUCCGUGCCAGCGUUCUGUGCUGGUGCUGCUCCCUCUGUGCCAGGGAAAGCUGGUCUGGCAUCGUGCUCUGUGCUGUGCCAGCAUUCUGUGCUGGUGCUGCUCCCUCUGUGCCAGGGAAAGCCAGCUCUGGCACCGUGCUGGGUGUGAUGCCAGCGUUCCGUGCUGGUGCUGCUCCCUCUGUGCCAGGGAAAGCCAGCUCUGGCACCGUGCUGGGUGUGGUGCCAGCGUCCCGUGCUGCUGUCCCGUGCUGGUGCUGCUCCCCCUGCCCGUCCUGUGCCGGGGGACAGCGGCUGUGCCACCCUGCCCUGUGCCACUGCGCCGUGCCAGCGCUGCUGCUGCUGCUGCUGCUCCCACUGUGCCAAGGGAAACUGGCUCUGGCACGCUGCUGUGUGCUGGCUGUGCCAGAGCUCUGUGCCAGCGCCCUGUGCCAGUGUUCUGUGCUGGUGUUCUGUGCUGUGCCAGAGCUCUGUGCUGGUGUUCUGUGCUGUGCCAGAGCUCAGUGCUGUGCCAGAGCUCUGUGCCAGAGCUCCGUGCCAGUGUUCUGUGCCAUGCCAGAGCUCUGUGCUGGUGUUCUGUGCUGUGCCAGAGCUCUGUGCUGGUGUUCUGUGCCAUGCCAGAGCUCUGUGCCAGCGUUCUGUGCCAUGCCAGAGCUCUGGGCUGGUGUUCUGUGCUGUGCCAGAGCUCAGUGCUGUGCCAGAGCUCCGUGCCAGUGUUCUGUGCCAUGCCAGAGCUCUGGGCUGGUGUUCUGUGCUGUGCCAGAGCUCUGUGCCAGUGUUCUGUGCUGUGCCAGAGCUCUGGGCUGGUGUUCUGUGCUGUGCCAGAGCUCAGUGCUGUGCCAGAGCUCUGUGCCAGUGUUCUGUGCCAUGCCAGAGCUCUGUGCCAGUGUUCUGUGCUGUGCCAGAGCUCUGUGCUGGUGCUGCUUCUACUACUUCUGCUGUGCCAGGGGAAUCUGGCAUCCUGCUGUGUGCUGUGCCAGUGCCCUGUGCUGGUGUUCUGUGCCGUGCCAGAGCUCUGUGCUGGUGCUGCUCCUGCUGCUUCUGCCGUGCCAGGGGAAUCUGGCAUCCUGCUGUGUGCUGUGCCAGCAUUCUGUGCUGUGCCAGCGUUCUGUGCUGUGCCAGUGUGCUGUGCCAGUGUGCUGUGCUGCUGCUGCUCCCUCGUGCCAGGGCACUCUGGCUCUGCCAUCCCGCUCCGUGCUGUGCCACCGUUCCGUGCCGUGCCAGUGUUCUGUGCUGGUGCUGUGCCUGCUGUGCCAGGGCAGUCUGGCUCUGCCCCGUGCUGGUGCUCCGUGCUGUGCCGUGCCCUGCGCUGUGCCAGCCUCGCUCUGCCCGGUGCCAGGGUGCUGUGCCAGCGCUUCCCCCUGUGCCAGAGCUCUGUGUCAGUGUCACGCUCUGCCUGGUGUCACUCUGUGCUGGUGUCACACUCUGCCCGGUGUCACGCUCUGUGCCGGUGUCACUCCGUGCUGAUGUCACUCUCUGUGUCAGUGUCACACUCUGCCCAGUGUCACACUCUGUGUCAGUGUCACUCUCUGUGCCGGUGUCGCUCUGUGCCGGUGUCACUCGCUGUGUCAGUGUCACACUCUGCCCGGUGUCACACUCUGUGCCGGUGUCACUCCGUGCUGGUGUCACACUCUGUGUCAGUGUCACACUCUGCCCGGUGUCACACUCUGUGCUGGUGUCACUCUCUGUAUCAGUGUCACACUCUGCCCGGUGUCACACUCUGCCCGGUGUCACUCCGUGCUGGUGUCACUCUCUGUGUCAGUGUCACGCUCUGUGCCGGUGUCACUCUGUGCUGGUGUCACACUCUGUGCCGGUGUCACUCUCUUGUGUCAGUGUCACACUCUGCCCGGUGUCACUCGCUGUGUCAGUGUCACGCUCUGUGCCGGUGUCACUCUCUGUGUCAGUGUCACACUCUGCCCGGUGUCACGCUCUGUGCCGGUGUCACUCCGUGCUGGUGUCACUCUCUGUGUCAGUGUCACACUCUGCCCAGUGUCACACUCUGUGUCAGUGUCACACUCUGCCCGGUGUCACACUCUGUGCCAGUGUCACUCCGUGCUGGUGUCAGUCUCUGUGUCAGUGUCACACUCUGCCCAGUGUCACACUCUGUGCCAGUGUCACACUCUGUGUCAGUGUCACACUCUGCCCAGUGUCACACUCUGUGUCAGUGUCACACUCUGCCCGGUGUCACACUCUGUGCCAGUGUCACUCCGUGCUGGUGUCAGUCUCUGUGUCAGUGUCACACUCUGCCCAGUGUCACACUCUGUGCCAGUGUCACACUCUGUGUCAGUGUCACACUCUGCCCAGUGUCACACUCUGUGUCAGUGUCACACUCUGCCCGGUGUC
RNAcentral lists this long non-coding RNA (3539 nucleotides) under Manacus vitellinus (golden-collared manakin). RNAcentral describes it as "lncRNA (ENSMVIG00005007385.1)". The record is from RNAcentral. Lineage: Eukaryota; Metazoa; Chordata; Aves; Passeriformes; Pipridae.